CAUAUCUGCCGCCCCAUUUGACCUAGACUUUGUGGUACAGAAUCUGAGUCCACCAGCAUGUGCUUCCAACUCCUAGCUCUGCACAAGGUGAAGCAAAUCUUCUGCAAGAGCUUAAGGAAGUUGGUGGUUAAGAAGGUCUACGAGCCCUGCACUCACCACUUCCUUCAGAGUCUUAUCCAGCUGGCCGGUACACCGCAGACAGGACAAGACCAUUCGCCACAAGCACAAAGAGUCUCAGCUUCCCCUGCCCACCAUACCAAACUCCAUUGCCAGUCUACCGAAGCCAGAUAAAGGACAGUGUGGCUGAACAUAAGACCAAUGCAGAACCACCUUAAAAUAUAUAGGGAUAUUUUCUAUCAAACUUCUACAUUUGUCUCCCUUUAUGUACCCACAGAAGAUAUGCAAGUAUGCUGCACAGGGCUCUGUAGCAUCAAACAGAUGUUAGAAAUUCACAUAUAUUCAAAUAAUGUUUAUUCGUCAUUCUAACAUACAGGGGAGUGUAAACUAUUUAAUGUUGAUUCAAAACCAGAACUACAUAUUCAACAAGAAUGUUAUAUGGUAAAAGUAACAUACAAAACAAAUACAGUAUGAACAAUAUAGUACAGUUCAUUGUGUCUCAGGAGUAGUAAAGUGCAGAGAACUAGUGAUCAGCAGACAAUGAGAGAAGUGGUCAUGAUGAGAUUGCCAUUCACAAAGAAACAUACAGUAAGAAAAUAGUGUGAUCCGUGUUUUAAAGUUCAGGGAGUAUAUUGUGUGCAUCUGAGAUGUAAAGUACAGACAUCUGUUGAUCAGCAAAUUAUGGGAGGGGUGUUGUCAUGAUCAAACUGCCAUGCAGCUCCUCUUGAGUCACCUAGGCCUGCUGCUUGUUCCAGCAUAAUGUCCAAUUCAUCAAGAGGGAUACAGUUCUGCUUCAAUGACGCAUGCAGGCAAAGGAAUUAUGUUUCUUUCCAACUAGAAUCCACUGCAGGAAGAACCUCAGGCUCCACAUGGUAUUGGCUCUAAGAGAAAACAUAUACUAAAUUAUACUUGAUUGUACAGUAUGAACUACAGUUGAACUGUGGCAGUAUAACGUCAACAUUAGUGUAGGCUAAUUGAAUAUGCAUACAUGUGCACAGGCACAGAGAUUACAUUUAGAACAAUAUUUAGCCAAAUAUAAAUAUGGCACAAACCUCAAUGUUUUCACAGUGACCAGACUGUACAAAUUUACCUAGGUAGGUAGACAGUAGCUAGCUACAGCCAUGCUUUAGGCAAAUGUUUUUAUAGUAAAACCAACUUAAACUCAGUUUAAGAGAUUUGUUGUUGCAUUUAACUGCGAUUUACAGCCUAGGAACAGUGGGUUAACUGCUUGUUCAGGGGCAGAAUGCCAGAUUUGUACCUUGUCAGCUCAGUGGAUUUGAACUUGCAACCUUCCGGAUACUAGUCAAACGCUCUAUCCACUAGGCUACCCAUCAUGUGGGAUAAGUGGGAGCUCAGGAUGAUGAGUCAGAAACGGAAGCCAGACACUCCACUCGCUGUUUUUUUCUGGUUCAAUGAAAGUCAAUGAACUAAGUAGACCAGACCCAGCUGCUAUUGCAUUGGUGUCUAUGGGAGGCCCACCCCGUUAAGUAGACUGGAACUGACCAUUUUUUUCAAUGGUAAACAGCCUGAGUGAACCAUCUUCAUUUACCCACAAUCUCUGUACGACGUUCCCACUAGUAAUUACCAGUUGGAGAGAAGUUCAAGUAGAUUUGUCCAAGUUGUAUGUUGUAAAUUCCCACUUGGUUAAAGAGAUACUUCGGGAUUUUGAAAUUGGGGCCAUUUAACUACUUCCUCAGAGUCAGAAGAAGUAAUGGAUACCAUUGUUUUGUCUCUGUGUCCAGUAUGAAGGAAGUUUGAUGUAGUUUUGCAAGCCAAUGCUAACUAGAUUUAGCUCAAUGACUGGAAGUAAUAGCGUUAACGCUAGUUAGCAAUUGCGCUAGCACUAGUUAGCAACUUCCUUCAAACUACACACAGUGUCAUAAAAAUGCUGAAGAAGUAUAUAAAGGGCCUCAUUGCCAAAAUCCCAAAGUAUCCCUUUAAUAAGAGCCCAACGUAACUAUUGAUCAAGUAGACUUUGUCUUAUGCAAAAUUCAUGUUAGAUUUCAAUUAUGCAGACAAACAAUGUGAAAUAUUGUGAUUAGUAUAUCUGUAUAAUCACAUAUUGUUGCCCUAUUAGGUGGUCUGAACAUAGUGAAAAGUCAAUAUUUUAUUCUGUAAAAUUAGAAAGCAGCCAGUGCAGUCAGCGUAUAACAGCUGCUAGAGUGUAUCGACGUGUUCUGGAAGGCU
Long non-coding RNA from Oncorhynchus gorbuscha (pink salmon), 2304 nucleotides. RefSeq lists it as uncharacterized. NCBI's taxonomy places the organism in Eukaryota, Metazoa, Chordata, Actinopteri, Salmoniformes, Salmonidae. The record is from RefSeq and is a predicted model, not a curated record. The transcript has 3 exons.